RNAcentral lists this microRNA precursor (147 nucleotides) under Podarcis lilfordi (Lilford's wall lizard). Lineage: Eukaryota; Metazoa; Chordata; Lepidosauria; Squamata; Lacertidae. The record is from RNAcentral.
UGUGUGAGGCACCCAUAAAACUGCACUACUAGCAUGCAAAGCCAUAAUUAUAAUAAUAAUAAUACAGCUUGGGACUCUUAAAUACUGUGUCCCAAGCUGUUUAGGACUUUGCAUGCUAGUAAUGCAACUUUACGGGUGCCUCACACA